CAGGAUGGUUUUAGUUCUUCUCCAGAGAGAGGCAUCCUGAUAAAAGGACAUGGGCAAUCCUUUAAUUGAUUUCUCAGCUGGACAUUGGAAAUAGCUUUUGAUGGUCCUGGGCUUCUUUCAUUUGACCCAGGAAAUAGCUGAGACAUAUGCCCUAAAACUUCAAAAAGAAGAGAGGGAGAGAAAAAAAUCAACCCGAGA
Long non-coding RNA from Gavialis gangeticus (Gharial), 198 nucleotides. RefSeq lists it as uncharacterized. NCBI's taxonomy places the organism in Eukaryota, Metazoa, Chordata, Crocodylia, Gavialidae. The record is from RefSeq and is a predicted model, not a curated record. The transcript is spliced from 3 exons.